UGGCGGCAGGCUUACACAUGCAAGUCGAACGGUAGCAGGAAGAAGCUUGCUUCUUUGCUGACGAGUGGCGGACGGGUGAGUAAUGCUUGGGAAUCUGGCUUAUGGAGGGGGAUAACUACUGGAGACGGUAGCUAAUACCGCGUAAUGUCCACGGACUAAAGGGUGGGACCAUUUGGCCACCUGCCAUAAGAUGAGCCCAAGUGGGAUUAGGUAGUUGGUGAGGUAACGGCUCACCAAGCCCGCGAUCUCUAGCUGGUCUGAGAGGAUGACCUGCCACACUGGAACUGAGACGCGGUCCAGACUCCUACGGGAGGCAGCAGUGGGGAAUAUUGCACAAUGGGGGGAACCCUGAUGCAGCCAUGCCGCGUGAAUGAAGAAGGCCUUCGGGUUGUAAAGUUCUUUCGGUGACGAGGAAGGCGAUUGUUUUAAUAGAACAAUCGAUUGACGUUAAUCACAGAAGAAGCACCGGCUAACUCCAUGCCAGCAGCCGCGGUAAU
This 497-nucleotide ribosomal RNA is filed under the name uncultured bacterium. RNAcentral describes it as "bacterial SSU rRNA". It matches the Rfam family "Bacterial small subunit ribosomal RNA", at positions 37 to 524 of the family's 1533-position model. The record is from RNAcentral.